AUGGACUUUUUGUCCUUAUGGGGAAAAAGAUUCUAUGAUGACAGGGAUAGUGAUUGGAAGAAAAUGCUGACCUACAAGUAUAAGACUAAUAUCCCUAAUCUCUUUAACACUAGGGUGACCCUGGGAUCUCCAUUUAUGAAAAGUUUAUCAUGGGCUCUUGCAGCCUCUAAAAACUUCUAUAGAUGGAUCCCUGGGGAUGGUAAAAGCAUUGCCUUCUGGCAUGACAUCUGGAUUGGAGAUUGUUCUCUUAAAACUGCAUUUUGGGGCCUGUAUACUAUUUGUCAACAGCAAGAUUCUACCCUUGCACAGGUCUGGACUAGCCUGUCUGGAUGCUAG
This 336-nucleotide ribosomal RNA is filed under the name Triticum aestivum (bread wheat). RNAcentral's name for it is "partial small subunit ribosomal RNA". The record is from RNAcentral. Lineage: Eukaryota; Viridiplantae; Streptophyta; Magnoliopsida; Poales; Poaceae.